This 85-nucleotide transfer RNA is filed under the name Pseudomonas sp. Its description in RNAcentral is "tRNA-Leu". It matches the Rfam family "tRNA". Rfam says of the family: Transfer RNA (tRNA) molecules are approximately 80 nucleotides in length. Their secondary structure includes four short double-helical elements and three loops (D, anti-codon, and T loops). Lineage: Bacteria; Pseudomonadati; Pseudomonadota; Gammaproteobacteria; Pseudomonadales; Pseudomonadaceae. RNAcentral also lists the same sequence under 1 other name. The record is from RNAcentral.
GCCCCGGUGGCGGAAUCGGUAGACGCGGCGGAUUCAAAAUCCGUUUCUUCACAGAGUGGGAGUUCGAGUCUCCCCCGGGGCACCA